Molecule: long non-coding RNA, 304 nt
Filed under: Pan troglodytes (chimpanzee)
Lineage: Eukaryota; Metazoa; Chordata; Mammalia; Primates; Hominidae
Description: long non-coding RNA NONPTRT015675
Source: RNAcentral
GAGCAGCUUAUGUCUUCAGACUGCUAAGCUGGCCAGUGCCAGGCUGGGUCCCUUUAAUUUCUCAAACACAAAUCGCCCUGCUGGAAUCUCAAGUUGGAUCUGCAGUAGAUCACCAUUAACUCAGCAGCUUGCUUUGUUGUGAGUCCUUAUGCCAGGAACUGUGCGGGAUACAAAAUGUAAGAGAACGCUGGAAUAGAGCAUCUCCUGGGGAAAUGAGAGCCAGAGAUACAGCGGUGCCCCAUGGAGACAGCCAGCUGGUGUUUGGUAGUUCCUUGUGGAAAGGCUGUACUUUGAACCACCUAAG